AAGAAAGACAAGAAAAAGAGGGAUCAAAGAGAGUAAGUGGAUGAGGCAAAGAAAAAGGAAUACAAGUAAACACCACUUCUAAAGCAUCAACUAGAGCAUCAAUUUGAGGAGUGACCAUUCAAAGCCUCCUUUCACUUCAGAGUGAGCUUCCAAAGAUCCAUAAAAAGAGAGCUUCAACUGUCAAUCAUUGAAUUCUAUCACAAGAUCAAGAUCGAGCAAAAAAAGGAAAAGGAAACAACUGAAUUCUGUUCACCAAGAUCCCAACUUUCAAAGCAUUCAAACUUGAGCUUUAACGACAUUAAUCCAACCUUUGAAGAGGUUACUUUGUAUGUAUUUUCUAUCUUUCUUUAGUGCAUGAGAUUAGAAAAUCUAGUGUAGGAUUUUUGGUAUAGAUGACACCGUGGAAAAACAACCGGCUUGUAUGGUUUGGUUGUACCUGUGAAACAAAUAGGUUGCGGUUGAUUGCCCUAGAAAACCGACUAAGUCUUGUUGAACUUGAAAAUCAGCAAGGAGUUCCUAAGUGUUGGAACUCGGAUUUGGUUUUGGUUGAUUACCAGAAAAAUCAAAUGGAUUUGGUUGUAAACUCGAAAAGUAAUGCAUCUAUAAUCGAUUUAUAAAUUAUAGUAAAAUUUUCAAGAAGAAAGUCUUGAAAAGUGGAUAUAGGUGCAGAGUUGGCACCAAACCACUAUAAAAUCUUAGUGUUUAUUUUUUUGUGCUUAUUCUUAUCUUUUACAUUUAUUUAUCAUUCAUGUUGUUGUGCAAACUUAAAUUUCGUAUUAGUUUUAAUUAAAAAUAUUUAAGUUUAUAAAAAGAUUUAAAAAACCCAAUUCACCCCUCCCUCUUGGGUUCUCAUUUUGGGCAACCAAAGGACCUGUCUUUUUUUUCUUCCUUCCUGAGGUGCUCAGGCUUCUUCCCCUACUGUCCCCACUUGUUCUCCCUACUCCCUCCCUCCCCCUAGCUAUCUCCGAUUUGGGGUAUUUGAUUUUCACAGGAUUAUCCAAACAAGCUCUUAAAUGAUAGAUAAUCGGCAAGCACACCAAUUGUCUCUCGAUCAAAACACAAUAUGACGCCAGCAUACUCGCAUUUGAAAUUCAUGUUAUUUUUUUAAAAAAUGCGAGCAAACAUUUUAGUAACAAAUCGAAAUAGGGAGGCCCAUCUUCAGGUGCAUUUGGAUGGCACAUGGAUGUACUGUGAUAUUAUUAUUUUACAUGUGUUUUUGAAAUUGUGAGUUAUGGUUUUAAAAAUUUAGGUAUGCAUUUUCCCAACGGACAUUUAGACAUUUAGACAUCUGUGUUAUACUAUCAUCAAAUUAUAAUAUGUGCAUGUACAUACAACCUUACAGGCAUAUGUAUAUACACACAUAUAUAGUAUUAUUCUCAAAUGAUGUAAGCUUGUGAUGUAAUAGAUGUUUUUUAUUUCCAUAUUACUAGUGAGCCUUGGUCCAAUGGUAAGAUUGCUCCAUUGUGAUAUGGGUGUCACUGGUUCGAAACAUAGAAGAGUCUCUUCACACAUGGGAGUAAGGCUACAUAGAUCUGACCCUCUCCAGACCUCGUAGCGAUAGGAGCUAAGCCUCCUACAUGCGCAAACCAGAGAAGAAGAUAUCUAUUGUUGACAGAGCAUUCAUUUUCAAUAACGAAAAAGCCAGUUUCUGGACCAACCAUUAGCAUCUUAUCUGGUCAAUCAACUAUUAGAUAAAAUAGACUGUAUGAAGUUGUCUUCCCUCAUUUUUCCUUAAAGGAUAGGAAGCAAAUUUUAUAUUGCAAAAUGAAGUAUACAUCAUAUAAGCUAUGGAAUUGUUAAACGAUUUAAAACAGAAGUUUCCUACAUUCAAUUGUGUUUAAUUUUAAGUCCCCAGCAUAUGAUACCAGCAGAAAGAAAUGAAAAGUGAAGUCAUAAUUAUUUCUGAUUAAAUUUAAAGAUAUAUGUUUAAAAAAGAAAGAAUGCUAAGAUGCUCACAAUCUGCUGCAGCGAUGUGCAAAACACAGCUACACAUGCACAAAGAAAACCCUUGGCAUUAAUGUCCACAUCAGUGACCGUGCAAACUCCAACACCAAAGGCUACCCCAACUACAGACAUUAUCACUCUCGAGGAGUAGUGUUUGCUGUUGAGUAUCCAUUCCAUCAUGCAAACCACUGGUAUCAUGCUCAAUUUUGAGAUCUGCAUGUUUAACAGGAGAACGCAAGAUAAGAAAUAUAUUUCUCAAACACACACAAAAAAAUCAUACAUUUCUAGCCAACAGGCAUAAAACAACAGACCUGGUAAAACCCCACCGAGUUCAGCAUGAGACUAAGGUUCAUCCCUGUAAUUGAUAGAUUAGCAACAAUGGAGAACCACAAGAGCUCCCAAAAAGGAACGUGCUUGGGCACAGAUAAACCAGAUGCAUUUGAAAGGUAGCCGAUAAUGCCCGUCAGGGUAAAAUGAAACCCUGUUAGCGUGGUAGCUGCAGAAAUUCAUGUACCCUCAGUAAAGUUCAAUUAUAUUUAAGAAAACUAAUAACAAAAACAAAUCCAAAAUGGUAUAGAAAAGCGUGGCUUUUGUGAAUCCUAAUUAACUCAUAAUUUCCAGCAAUUAAAAAAAGAGGUAAUUUCGACAUCACCAGAAAUCACCCCAUGCUGCGGUUUUUAUGCUCCAAAUAAAAUUACAUCCAAGCAGACUCAUUCUAAAACCUUAUCAACUAACCAAAUUUAAGAUUUCCAACAAAGGGUUCCAGCACCAAAUCUUUUUGUGCCUCACAGGUCAUUUAAAGUCAAGUGAAUUCCGGUAAGUCAAAGAUCUUGACAGACAGGUUUACAAAUAGAUCCGAGAUCAGUUUAAUUUAUCAAUCCAUAAUAGAAACUCACAUUGAGAUCUAUAUCAUCGGAAACUCUUCAAAAGAAUAACACCCAGAUUAAUCAUCUUUUCAACGUAAAAGUUGAAUCUUUAUACAUUAAUUCUGCCCUAAUAUACCAAGAUAGAAAGACAUAUAAAGAGAGAGAGAGAGACGAAAAGGAUACCGAAGCUGAAUCCAUAGCCACCGGCAGACAUGAGCUGCUUGUUGGCCAUGAUAAGCCCCACGGAACUGACCACAUUCAUCGCCCACGCCCCCAUAUCCGAGACGACGACCUUGUUCUCCAUUUCCAUCGCCUAUUCGCCUUCUUCCAAUCCCCUCUUCUCAACGAAAACCCAAUCCCUGAUCCCUUCUCCCACCGCCCAAAUCCCCAGUCGGCUGCAAAUGAAUCCUCAAGGAGACGAAAUUGGGAGGGCAAGAGGGAGAAGAAAUCAGCUAUUGGGAGUGAGACCGAGGGUUUUGAGAGAAGAAUUAUAUAGAGAAGACGAGGAAAGACCGAAACUUUCCCCGCCUUGACGCUGGCGCCGAAGAAUAAGCAUUCACACCAUAGGGAAGAAAAUGGAGCUCGGGGAAAACUGGGGGAGGGAAUUAAUAGGUCUCCGAAGGUUCCGAGAUGGAGGGAAAAGGGAAGAACGCGUGCACCGACGGACAGCGCGCGUUUUAGGCGUACCGCGUUGGAUGCAGCUGGAAUUGUUCCGAAUCAGCCAUUUAGGCUAUCCGGGAAUCGGACAAGCGGACCAUUUGGUCGUGGUUGGUGGGAGGUACUGGUCUCAUGGGAUGAUCCCUGGUCUCAAGGUUUAUUUUUUUUAAUUCAAUUUGGUUGUGGUUUGGAAAGUCUUGAACCAAGAAAUUUAAUCAGCUUCGAUUUAAAUUUUCAGAAAACUGAUCCGAACCAAUCUGGACCGACCCAACCCCGCCCAUAUAGAUAUAUAUUCAAAACAAUUUGAUCCGAUCCAUAUAUAUCUAUAUAUAAAAAUUUUAAUUUUAAUAUAUAUAUAUAUAAUAGAAUUUUUAUGUUUAGAUUUAUUCCAUCGCAUUUGGUCCAAUCCAUUGGAUGCCAAUCCUAUUUAAAAUAGAAUUUGGGAUUUGUUCUAUCCCUUGACACCUCCUUGACUCACGAGGCAUUGUCUAGAGCACAGGUGAUUUAGGGGGAUGUGGCCCCAGAAACUGAGGAUUUAGGGGUUAGAGUCCCUGACUAGUUUAACCAAAAUGCCUUUCUUUUCUUUCUAAACUUCUUUUUUUAUUCAUGAAGUUAAGUGCAACCGCAUUUCGGAUUGCACGAACAUCCCCCGCAAAAGCUUCUUUUUGAUAAUCAUAUGCCUUUUUCAAAAUCAAAAGUAUAAACAUGUAUGCUUUUAAUAUAAUUCUUUUGUUAUAAAUAAUGAUUGAUGACCUGGCGACAGAGGAUCUAAAUAACAUGAGCACAUGAACAUUUUAUUCUAACUUAAUUUACAUGCAUAUUCUUAUAAAAAAGCAAUGGUCAUCCCUAAUAAUAUUAUUUUGGCAAAAUGGUGAUUCAUUCACCAAUAAUUCAUUAAGAAACGAAAGAAAAAAUGUUGCCAAAUUUAAGAAGCAGAUUCCAUGUUUUGGUUAAAAAAAUAAAUUUUAAGAUUUUGCAGAGGAAUUUGUCCCGGACAUGCACAUGAGGAAGAAAUGGCGGUGGUGUCGAUGCUCCAUCGGAAAAUGGAUGUUAUCGAUGAUCAUAAAGUUUUUUGUGGCAAAUAAUGGUUGUGAUUUAUAUAAUGUUGUAUAUUUAAUAAAUUAGAAUUUGAUUAUAAACUAUUCAGAAGCUGUAAAAUUUGAUGGCUUUAAGCCUAGUGAAGUAAUGAAUGCAUGAGAGUUACUGAUAUGUUAUGGAAGGAUGCAAGGUAAAUGCAGGAUCAUUGUUAUACUGAUGAGAGAAGACUCUUUUUGAUCCUUGGGCACUAACUUCUUUUACAAAUGACAAUAACAUGGCUAACUAGCUAAGAAAGGAUAUAAGAUUUAUGUGACUAGAAUUUAAUUUACAAAGUGUCAAUUGAAUUAUGUAUUGGUGUAACUUUCUUUGGUUUGUCCUUCUUUCCUGUUUGUCAAAACUCUGUAAUUUGUCAAAGAAAUUUCCUAUGGCCUUUGUAAAUGUAGAAAAAGAAAAUAACUAUUUUAGCAGUUUCAGGACUCCACUAUUACAUGUCUUCGCAUAAAAUAAUUGUGAUGUAUAUUCUAUGAUCAUUGUGAUGCUCCUGUGUUACCUGAAGUUGGCCUUUGAGAUAUAUAAUUUAAUAAUUAGUAAUUAUUUCCUAAUGUGCGAUGCUUCUAAUUUAAUGUUAUCACAUGAAGAUGUAACAUGCUCAUUGUGGGCCAUGGUAACAGCUCAUAAGAACCAUCAUAACGGCAAUAAUAUAUAUCAAGUGAGUUUUUAGUGCUGGUUAAAAAGUCAUUAAUAUUUUAGGACAUCUGUAAAAAUAAUAUUAGUUGUUUUUUUAUUUAACAACAAUUAAUAAUAGUUUCCAAAAUUUUAUUUAUCACUCAAGACAUAUUGAUAAGAUAAAUUAUGGGAAUAAGAUAAAAUUAUAAGUCUCGAUAAAUUAUGAAAUAGUGCAUAGAAAGAUUGGUUGUCAAAAUUAAUAGCAUAAUAGAAUUUUUUAACUACCUUGUUGAGAAAAAAUAGUUUAGUUAUUAAAAAAUAGUUUAGCAGUAUAAAUAAUUAUAGUCAUGAACAAGUAAUAACAAACUUUAUUUUAAAAAAAAACUCAAAUAGAAAUAACAGAUUUAAGAUAGCAAAUGAAACCAUAAAAUAUUUCAAACUUCGCAUCCAAAUCUUGAAAAGAAUUGGGUUCCAUUAUUGUGAAUAGCAUCCGGAGUUGUAUCUCUAACUUCAUCCAUUACUUCCUGGUGACUUGGUUGCACAGCUGCAUCUAGAUAAAGAAUAUCAUCAGGAAUUACUUCCUGACUUUCACAACAUACUUUUCAUCCUGAAAUUGCUCAAACAGCUUAUCAUUCAUGUCCUCUUAAAUGAUGUAGUUGUGGAUAGUCAUGGAAGCAACUUCAAUAAACAUUUGUUUCCCUUUGAAAUUCAUAUGAAGCCAUACAAUGCAAGAUUGGAAAAUAUGCUUCCAAGACAGUAAAACAAGCACAAAAAAUUCUCUAGCAAGCUCUGCAUGGUCAAUCAUAUGGAGAGCAUUGUCCAGAUCACUGCAUAUGCAACAACACCAAUCUAACUAAAGGCGAGUAGAAGUGGCAUUUAAAAUGGAGGAAUAAAGAAAGCUAAUGGACCCUCAUCCAUUAGUUCUAGGAAAAGAGAAAAUGCAGUUAUUUUUCCUCUUUUCUAUCUCUCAACUUGGUCUCUCCCUGCUCUUCUUUGCCACCAAGCAACAUAGCACCAUCUUGUCAUUAAUGUCAAGAUAGUGGAUGGUGCCCAAAACCGAUGUAAUAGUUGUUAUGUAACAACAUAGAACCUUAUCCAAAAAAGUUAGUCAAAAGAUAUUAUUUGAUUCCUUCAUCUUGUAUAAGUAUCCAAGAUCUACUAAGUGCAUAGCUAAUGUGAAACUAAACAUACGCUUAUACAGAUCCUCACAUACUUUUUCCACUUAAGUCAUGGUAUCCUCGCCGCUCUAAGAAUUCAGAUCUAUUCAAAUCUAAUCAUAAACAUCAUGAUUGGCAUGGUCAGCCUCAAUAGGCAUAUGCUGCAGUGUCCUCUAGUCCACAUAGGCUAUAGAUCAGUCCGCUCUGAUACCAUUUGUCAGAACACAGGACCUCGCCCAAAAAGGCUAGCCAAAAGGUAUUAUUUGGAUUUUUUAGUCCUUUAUAAAUAUCUAAGAUCUACCCAGUGCAUAGCCGAUAUGAGAUUAAACACAUGCCCAAAUAGUUCCUCACACAUUAUUAAUGUCAUAGUAACUGUUAUUUUAUACCUUGAUUGCACUUGUGCUAACAAGAAGUAGCCCUACAUAUCCCUCCCUUGAAAUUCAUUAAAAUAAUGAAAGGCCGACGUGGAAGAAAGAAAAAGAAGAGAGAGAGAAGCACAUCAUUCCAACAACUAAUAAGGCCUCAAAAAGAAAAUUCAGGUAAAAAAGUACGAGGAACCCAAAUGAUCUGAAUUUGAAAUUUGAAAUUAAAAGUUGAAAUUCAACAGAGAGAAUUUGAAGCUGCGAUAUACAGCAAAAUACACGACUUCAUGACUACCAUCCAAUCCCAAUAUCUUACCACCGCUGAUAUCACUUGUCAUCAAGCUGAAGAGAAAGCAAGGAAGAAGAGAAGGGAAAGAGAGAGAGAAGGUGAGGAAGGAGGGGAGAUACAAAUGACAUAUGAAGUGAAAAGAAUAAAUGAAUUUAUUGACUAUACUAGUAGUUUAACACCUCGUAUUCAAUUUAAGAACACACCAUUCUGGUGUUAAAUGGUUUCCCUACAUUGACUGAUAUUUGGCAUUCAAUUCAGCUCUCAGAUAAUGAGUACAAUCAAUAAACUUUUUGUCACGCCCCGAGCCCGAGGCGCGGCAGACGCCGCACGCCCGCACGGCGGGCCGCGCAGGCGUGCAAGGCAACAUAUCAUAUCAAAGCAAAUACAGAUGUUCAAAACUGACAUAAUUAUUUAAAUUUAUUCAAAAGCAGUCUUACAAAAUUUCAAAAUAACAUUUGCUAACAUAAUUCAAAUGUCCAAACUAAUCUAACUGAAAUGCCAAUAACUGAUGGAAUCAUCGGAACAUCUAACGCACUCCCCAAUCCCGUGCGAUCAAGCCUCUGGAUCUGAAAAACAGAGAAAAUAAAAUAAUGAGCUACACUAGCCCAGUAAGCAACAAAAUACCCCAAAGUGGGGUCGGAGCAUAUCAGGUCAAAAUACAGGAUAAUGGCUGGAAUAAAUCAUAAAUAACAUCGUUUUACUAUUUUCAAAACUUAUUAUCAUUUUUCCAAAAACUCUGAUACCAGAAUCUCAACAUAAUAGGCUACGGCCACGUAACCCAGUGGCAUGGGUUGCACAAGGUGCCAAAUCCACUAUUUUUAUCCACCGAUGGCAGCCGGUGUUGCACAAAAGUGCCAAANNNNNNNNNNNNNNNNNNNNNNNNNNNNNNNNNNNNNNNNNNNNNNNNNNNNNNNNNNNNNNNNNNNNNNNNNNNNNNNNNNNNNNNNNNNNNNNNNNNNNNNNNNNNNNNNNNNNNNNNNNNNNNNNNNNNNNNNNNNNGGCAGGGCUAGAACAGAGCAGAACAGAUCAUAGCCAUGCUGAGAAUGCAUAUAUACAGAAAAAUAGAUUUCAUAAAUUAUCCAGUCAUAUUUUGCGAUUUCAGAGCAUAUAACAAAAUUUUCAAAUGAAAUUUAACAUGCCAGACUCAUUUUACUAAAUACAAAACAUAUUUCGAAAUUAAUCCACUAAUAAUUAUUUUACCAAAUAAUUUUGAAAAUGCACUUUGAAGCAUUAAGUUACUUACCUCUUCUCGCUUAAUUCCUACUUCAGAUAGGCAGAUCAGGUUCACCUAUUUAAAUUUAAUUAAUUCUUUGUUAAUAUCAGAAUUAAGCAAAAAUCCAAAAAUAGUACUAUUGGACACGGCCCAACAGGGCCCAGAGUUGGCCCAUAAUAGGCAUGGCCCGAUAGGCCCAUAUUGGGCACGGCCCAAUGGGCCCGCAUAAAUCCAGCUAAGUAGGGCCCCCAAGGUUGGCUUCUAAUUAGUUCAUUUAUACAAUAAAAUUUAUUGCAGGGACUAAUACUUAAUUUACAGGGUACUAUUUUAUAAAGCUCGAGUGGGCUAAAUAAAAUAUAGUUGGGGACCUUUAUGUAAUAAAUCUUUUCUAUAGGGAUCAGAUACAAAUUACAGAAGGUCCUAAAAUAACAUAAUGUCAAGGGCUUAUCUGUAAAAUUUUAUUUAUUGGCCAAAUGGGUUUGGGUUUCNNNNNNNNNNNNNNNNNNNNNNNNNNNNNNNNNNNNNNNNNNNNNNNNNNNNNNNNNNNNNNNNNNNNNNNNNNNNNNNNNNNNNNNNNNNNNNNNNNNNNNNNNNNNNNNNNNNNNNNNNNNNNNNNNNNNNNNNNNNNNNNNNNNNNNNNNNNNNNNNNNNNNNNNNNNNNNNNNNNNNNNNNNNNNNNNNNNNNNNNNNNNNNNNNNNNNNNNNNNNNNNNNNNNNNNNNNNNNNNNNNNNNNNNNNNNNNNNNNNNNNNNNNNNNNNNNNNNNNNNNNNNNNNNNNNNNNNNNNNNNNNNNNNNNNNNNNNNNNNNNNNNNNNNNNNNNNNNNNNNNNNNNNNNAUCUUUGCAUCAUUGAGCUAAAUGUGUGCGUUCCUUUGUGUAUGGGGCCAUUAGGGUCUAGUAAAGUUUUAGAUGGACAAAUUCUGCAAAAAUAAAAAAAAGUGACCUGUUUUGGCAAUAUGCAAAUAGACUAGGUUUUUGUGCAAACACCUUGUUUAAAUUGGUAACUACAAAUAUAAUAUCGGUAUUUGUGAAUUAACUGUGUUCUAUGGAUGAUGAUGAAGCUAUUGGAGGUGGUCAUGGUGUUACUAGCACAAUCCUAAUGAACUUCACAAAGAAGUUGGGCUUUGAACAUUGCAUCUAUGAUGCUGAUCCAAAUGUGUGAGCUAGUGAUGAUGCUGCUACAUUAUUAGAUAGCAAUCAAGUCAAAAUAAGGAAAAAAAAAUCUCACAUUGAUGACGAUGGCUGGGUUGCUCGGACACUUUGAUUCAACUUCUAGAAUCUAUGUUAUCUGUAUUUGAACCAGAUACAUGUCAUAUACUUGGAUACAUAUCAAACAUUUUCAACUACAACUAUUAUAAAUUGGAAGAAAGUUAGAUUCCAACAAUGAGCUCCCCAUAACAAUGUCGAAAGUAAACUUUUGGUCUUUUUAGGGAUUGGUCAAUAUGUAGGUAUUAAAAUAACUUUACAAAAUCUCAAAAUUGUAAAAUCCUUAAGCUAAUUAGGAAGUUUAAAUGAGAAACAUGUAUUUUGGGAGACCCUUAUAAUGAGGUAUUUUAAUAGUUUUCUUCUAUACAUUAUUGAAUAUUUAUAUUUAGCUAAAAUUAUUUUUUGCACAUCUCUGUAUCUCCUUAUUUUUCUUUUGCUAAUGCGGCAUUUAGAUACAUGUUUGAAUCUAGUCUGUGUUGUUGCCUAUGCAAUAUUGCAUAAUGGGAACUUAAGUUUGAAGGACACUUUCCAGUAGGGUCUGUUGUGCCAAUAACGGGCACUGUACUGGUUGCCCAAUGACAUGAGUCUGUACGGACUUGCACCGUGCCAUGCCAUGCUGUGCUGGGCCUGUACUGACAUAGGAGACCGUGGGAGAGAGGAAAAGAGAGAGCGAGCGAAGGAGGGAGGGAGAGAGGGAGGCUGUCGGAGGUCGGUGGUGGUGUGGGUGGCGGAGGCCGGGGUCGGACCUUCUAUUUCGUUUGAACAGGGGUCCGGCCACCAGUGCCGGCCUUCGAUAGCCUCGGCCACGUCGGCCGACCUCCCUCCCUCUCCCUCUCCCUUCCCUGCUCGCUCUCUCUUUUCUUUUCUUUCCUUCUCCUCUUUUUUCGGUGACGGCGUUUCGGUUUUUUUGCCGAAACCGUCACGGUAAGCCGCCGGUACGGCUCAGGAUGCCUCAAACCGGACGGUUCGGGACAGUUCCACUGAUCUUGCCUUCUAGAUUAGAGUUGUGUUCUAUGGUUAUAAUUAAGGUCUGCCGUACCGGUACCGGUAGGCGUACUGGUCGCCUACCGGGUUGGUUCGGUUUGUACCGAAUCGGUAAGUUUUUUUUUAUCUUUCGGUUUUCGCAUCCGUGUGUGGGUGUCCAUGCACGGACGCGCGAGAUAAAUGCCACAGAGUGGCAUUAAUGAGCUCGUGCGGGUUGGGAAAACGUGCGGGCGGGGAAAACGCUCGCGUGGCGCUUCACAGCGCGGGGAACCGUGCGCGGACGCGGUUCCCUAAUGUGCGGAACAGCGCACCGGCGGGGAAAGGGAUAAAUGCCACAUUGUGGCAUUAAUAAGCCUGCGUGGGCGCGGGCGCACUGCCCCACGCGGGCUGGGGAAGCGUGCGGGCGUGGGAACCGCCCGUGCGGCGUUUAAUAGCGCAGGGAAAGUGCUCGUGCACGAUUUCCCGGUGCGCGGAAUCGCGUGGGGCGGGGAAACGCGCGCCCGCGUGGGGUAGGGUGAUGGGGGCUCACGGUCCAAAGCUCUUACCAUGCCCCUUUCCUCGUGCUUCUUGCGUGCGCAUUUAAAAAUCGCUGAUGAUGGACCGAUUGCAGGUAACGUCGGUGGAAUAAUUCAAUAUAAAGAUCAACAAUGAAAGCAAAUUGGAUUCUAUUCCAGUUAAUUGAAGAACAAAUAGCAAGAACGAUGAAACAAAAGAAAUCCAGCAAGAAAUUGAAGAGCUCCCUUCCUAGCCCAAUUUAACGGAGAUUGAUGUAUCUACCACUAGCCUAAGUCCUAGAACAUAAGAUCUAAGGACUGAAAUCGGCACAAUCACCGCCCAAGUCUUACGGCCGACUCUCUAACAAGAGAACAAGACUAAAACUCAACUCUGGAAUAACUCUGGGAUGCCUCCCAAUGGCCCUUUACAACUCUAUUUAUAGGCUAAGACCCUAGAUAAAAUUAAGUAACCCUCUUUGUACUGUGGGCCUCUUUAUGGGAUAUUAUGUGGGGCUGGGAUGCUUUUUGUCGUUAUGGGACAUUGGGUGAUGGCUUUGGAUUUAAGGUCUUUGUAAUGGAGGAGAAUUAAAUGGUCAAUGCUAUGCAUGAUGUGUUUUUGACUGGGGAUAGGGUGAUCUGGUUUCAUGGUGUGGCCUCAACAAAGUACAUCUGCUGAUGUGUUUUCUAGGCUGUAGCAAGGACUGUAGAAGGUUGUUGGGAUGAGGAUGCUUAACCUUUGAGGUUUGCCUUGUUGCAAUGGGGUUUGGAGAACUUUGCAUUUUAUAUAUAUGGGAGCCGAUGAUUGCUGCUCAAUGCUUGUGAACUGAAGAUUGAAUCAGAUUGGCGUGUCUCGAUAGGAGGGGCAAGGCAAAAAUCAAAUCCUACAAGGAUAAAGUUCUGUUUUUUGUGGAAUCGGUAGUUUUACUUGAGUUAAAAAGGUAGGUGGAAGUGAUGUACAUAUCUCCCUCGUAUGCAAUUGAAUUGCUAAAAUUUCUGCUACCAUUUGGUUUGGUAAGGUCGCAAGCCUCUCGGUGGGUUGAGAUGUUUGGCUGGCAUUUAGCCAUGCUAGUCUAUGCAUUUUUUUCGUUUAAUAUAAACUUUUUCCUUUCUUUGCAUUCAUGUGCAUGUAUGGCUGAUCUCAUGUCAGAGAAGAUCUCAGAGGAAAAUGGAAUCAAGAUUUUGUUAGAGCGAAUGACAUCUUGUAAUGGGUGGGUUGAUGGGCAGAUGGUCUAAUCAUGGAAGUAGGUGUAUGAUGGGUUUGCCACUCUGUUAAUGUAAAAAUAAACUUUUUAAGAACUGAAAAGGGAGGCUUUUCAAAACAAGAAUGAAACAAAUAGACAUGGCGUAAAGAGCAGAGCUAGGAAGCAAGCCUUUUUCUUCUUUGUGAGGGCUUGGAUAUAUUGGAUCCACAUGAUGAAGGGGAAAAAUAUCAUUCGAUGAAUAGUAAUAAAGGGUUAUGUAACAUGUAUCAUUUGCAUGAAGGAAGAAAGAUGGAUUAUGUGAGCAAUCAGAUUUGAAACGGAGGGAUAAUGCCCAUGCAUAUUCUUUUACUCCAAUUAUUUUGUAUGAUUCUUUCAGACUGAACUUGUUAUUUGGUCUAUUGAUCAAGCUGCUAAUUAUUUCAAGGAAACACAUACUACAUCAUGUAUCGAGUUUAUUCUCGGUCUUUGAUCUGCUGGACUGUUUGGAUGUUGAGGUGUUGUCCUUUCUGCUUGUACAGCGUGUAAAUUGUCCCUUUGCUUGUUAUGCCAUAAUUUUCUUUCCUUAUAACUGAGGGCCAUAUAUUGGGUGUGUGUCCUUGUAUUGUUGCAGCCAUUACAUCUGGUCUAACUUUAACUUAGAAUUUAUGAGAACAUAUGAGUUAAGCUAAGUCUCCUAAGAAAACAGUCAUUCUUUCUUGAUUGUAUCUGCUCUGUUCCGUGCAAGAUAUUACCUUCCAAAUUAACGGACACUGAGAUUUAUUGAGUGAAUAAUCGAUAUUGCUUGGAUCAUACAUGUAUUGGCAAUUAUUCCCUCUUUUCAUGCAGGGAGUGCAGGAAUUCUUUUUGUUGUUUUGUUUUUCAUUGCAUUCCUUUUCAUUUUCUUGGGUACCAUUAUUUAUAAAUAAAAUUUCCAGCAUUUUCACCAUAUUAAAAACACACCAAAAUAGUGGUAUAUACUAUUUUUAUAUCUCUUAAAAAUUUGAAUUUCAAAUCCAUUAAUUAGUUUGGUUUUUGACUCCCAUAUCCAGAACUCAAGGCUUUUUAGCACUCUUUACCGGUGACACUGGUGAAAUUCGUGGUGAAGUCAGAGAGCGGAUAGAUACAAAAGUGGCAGAGUGGAGAGAGGAAGGAAAAGCUGAGAUAGUCCCGGGUGUCCUGUUCAUUGAUGAGGUCCACAUGCUUGACAUUGAAUGCUUCUCGUUCCUAAAUCGCGCAUUGGAGAAUGACAUGGCCCCCAUCCUGGUUAUUGCCACAAACCGAGGGAUCACAACUAUCCGAGGCACAAACUACAGGUCUCCUCAUGGAAUCCCAGCCGAUUUCCUCGACCGCCUGCUGAUAAUAUCUACUCAACCAUACACUGAGGAGGAGAUCCGGAAGAUUCUUGACAUCAGAUGUGAAGAGGAAGACGUAGAAAUGUCAAUGGAUGCAAAGGUUCUGCUAACAAAAAUAGGAGCGGAGACCUCUUUGAGGUAUGCGAUCAACUUGAUCACUGCAGCUGCUCUUGCUUGCCAGAAGAGAAAGGGUAAGAUUGUGGAGAUGGGGGAUAUAAGUAGGGUGUAUCAGCUGUUUCUUGAUGUGAAAAGAUCGGCACAGUAUUUAAUGGAGUACCAGAGCCAGUAUAUGUUCAAUGAAGUGCUGAGGGAGGCAGAUGAAAAUGAAACCACACAAUCGAAGUAUUCUGCUCUUGCUUAAUUUAUGUACUAUAGUUGUGUGGAAUCUUGGAUCAAGUCAAAAACAAGAUUUCCUAUGUAGAGGGAUGUGUUCUGUUUAAUACUUUAAAUCUUUGACAGACUAGUUGGUUUUCUUCUAUAUUGGUUCACGCAUUUUUCUUAUCGCAAUGGAGCUCUUUGAUUCAAGGUUUUUUCCUUGACAGGAUGAUUCUGUAUUCUUGGCCGGCUCCUCUGUAUGGACCUUGCAUUGAUGAAAGGCAUGAACACUUGGUGAGCGAAAGAACAAGUACUUGCAGGUGUCAUGGUACGAAAACAUGACGUGGAUUUCUAGGAACCAACAUUCUGAAGCUUUCCUCAAUCCAGGGAACCCCGAGUUUUUGGCCAUCACCAGAUUCGCGCCUUAAAGCAGAAGCUUUCAUUCUCUUUCGGCCCCGUUGCAUUCCAGAACAGACUGUAUAAUCUUUGUUUGUGGUGGUUAAUUGAUAUUAGAAUGGCCUCAGCACCCGAAGGUACUUCUAUAUUUGAACAUAUUUGAGUCUCUUGUUGGAUAAUUGGGCUGAAAAUUUUAUUGAAUUCGUAAAUUGGCCACCAUCACUAGCAAAAUCAUAUGUAUUUAUAAGUACUUAGGAAUAACUUUGGAGUGGGCCGGUCUGAAUUCCAUAAAAAGAAAAAAAAGAUUUGGAUAUUGAUGAUUUUGCAGGUUGUGCUGGCUCGAUUUAUGAAUUCAACAAAAUUUUCAACUCAAUCAUCCAUGCCGACCCUGAAUUGUUUGUUCCUCCAACUAGGGAGUGCGGAGAUUAAUAUAGGGAAGCAUGCCAAAGAUUUGAUUCGUCUUUUCCUCAAAAAAAAAGAAAAAAGAAAAACAAAAAACAAAUGAAGAAACAAAAGAGUGAUGACAUUUGACACCCUGGAUUGGCACCGAAAAUCUUCAAAGCUGCAAUCCAUCAGGAAUCAGUACUAAUAUAACCCAAGGAAUGUGCUGAAGAGCAUGUGCUACCUAGGGAUUUGUCAGUGCCAAAGCUUAGACUAGGUCAGGCUUGUGGAUAUCCACAUGGUUCCGGUACUGGUCGAGAGCUGAGCUCAUGGCUGUCUCUUGGUUUCAAGAGACGAGCAUUGGUUCAAGUGCCUACGGGCCUGUGAGCCUAUGGCCUAUGUCCGAGACGAAACCCGUGCUGGAUCGCUGGACGGCACACGUGCACGUGUGCGCAUGUGAUCGUGUGCAUGCGUGCAAGUGCACGUGCAAGCAUGUGGGCUUGUGCUGGUUGGGUGCACAUGCAAAGCAGCGGCAGGUUCCAAAACAUCCAUAGAUCUCGGUCAAUGGAGGACGAGGGCCUGCCUCAAGGCCCAUCUCUAGAUUCGCUUAGGAGACCAGCGCUUGAGGCGUGGAAGCACACCAAAGUCAAGGACACAUGGAAGCAAGGGAAAUAAAAUAACAUGACAGGAAUGCUUCCCUAUCAAAAGAAGCAUCUUUAUCUUUCUACAGAGACUUAAAGUGGGGUUGGGGCGAUUGGAAGCAAGAAGAUGUGAUUCCGCACCUCCCAGAUUCUCAUCCAACAUUAUGGAUUGCAGCGAAUGACUUCAUUAUUAUUUGUUUAAUGCCAUCUUGCCAGCUUCUAUAUAUAUAUAUAUAUAUAUAUAUAUANNNNNNNNNNNNNNNNNNNNNNNNNNNNNNNNNNNNNNNNNNNNNNNNNNNNNNNNNNNNNNNNNNNNNNNNNNNNNNNNNNNNNNNNNNNNNNNNNNNNNNNNNNNNNNNNNNNNNNNNNNNNNNNNNNNNNNNNNNNNNNNNNNNNNNNNNNNNNNNNNNNNNNNNNNNNNNNNNNNNNNNNNNNNNNNNNNNNNNNNNNNNNNNNNNNNNNNNNNNNNNNNNNNNNNNNNNNNNNNNNNNNNNNNNNNNNNNNNNNNNNNNNNNNNNNNNNNNNNNNNNNNNNNNNNNNNNNNNNNNNNNNNNNNNNNNNNNNNNNNNNNNNNNNNNNNNNNNNNNNNNNNNNNNCCUCCUCUCUCUCUCUCUCUAUGAAGUAAAGAUCAAAUGUAAAAAAUAAAGUGAUGCCCUUUCUUUUUUUUACCUAAAAAAAAAAACCAAACACACGCAAGAGUCUCAGGUGUUCUGAUGGUUCUGAAGGAACCUACAAGGAAUUUGCAAUGCACUAGAGCUAAAACAAGCUGACCAUGGUACCCUUUCACCAGUCCUUAGCUGGUGCUUCAGGUUCGUGAUGGGUGAACUUGACCUACAUAUAUACCUCUUUUUGAUCCAAUAUUGCUGGCAUCCCCAAUAGUAGAAAAAUUCCAGCUUGAUCUUUCCAGUGAGUGACUUAAAUUCGCUCACUGACAUCCAUGAGAUGUGCUCUAGACCUUGCACAUCAGCAGGGAGUCCACCCUGUGUUUGACAGUGACCAUCCAUUGGAGGUCUCUGCUUAGUUUCACAGCUUCUGCUAGCCCUCUUCACAUCCACCACCAUACCAGUUUGUUUUCCUCCAAAUAAUUGUCAUAUCACAUAACGAACUAUAGCUAGUUAGCAGCUCAUUGAGAAGUCUUUUGUUUAUAUUUGACUUGAUCAGAUGGCUGUUUUGUAGAAUGAAGUUUUUUUUUGGUGGGGGUUGGGGGUUGAAAGUAGAAUAAAGUUUGAACUAGAAGCAGACAUCAAGCUGACUAUGAGUGGUGGACUGAUAUGAGAGUGAGUCAUCCAUGGGGUCUCUCCAAUACGAAUGCAUUUUUUUAUUUGGUGUUUUCAUAAUGGGGUUGAGAGAGGAGAGAACUAAAAGCAUAGUGGCGCCUUCCAAGACCAGAGGUCUAAUAUGGACAGAAAACUGAACAGAACCCACAAGCUCCAUUUUGUUACCCCAUUUCAUGACAAAGGAUUCAAUGAAAACAAAACAAAGGCAAUCUUUAUUUUCUCCUCCCUUUUGCUCAGGUUGUUUCCCACUGCAUUGACAGGAAAAAAGCAAAAUAGCAGGGACAAAGGAAAAAUAAAUAAAAGAAGGCCAAAGAAAGAUCUCUUGGAGAUCUGUACAUAUUCUUCCAUCUAUUUCCCUUCAGAACAAGGAGAAUGAAACUUGUCACCAAAUCUUCUUCUCACUUUCAUCCCUGCAGACCUAUUGACAUCGAAAAAUUUUAAAAAAAGCGUGUGAGUUUUUUUUAAAAAAAUAAUAAAGAAAACAAGAAUCUUUCAGCACUGGCGUCUGAUGUCAAGCCUUGAGAACUUCUAUUCCCUGGAAAGAAAACCUAAAGAAUGAGAGAAAACAGCGACAUAACUGGUCUUGCAGGAGUUGGCUUCACAGGAGCAGAGGAAUGCAGGUAACCCAUUUGCUUCUGCAAUGCAGACUUUCCCUGAAGACAUUGUAAUAUGAUCAGCCAGCGAAUAAAGAAUAAAAAGGAUUAGCAAAAUAAAGGAGGGGGAAGAACAAGAAGAGCCUGAAACUUACCUUAAAAUGGGUGGCAGAGAAGCCACAAGAGAACUCCAAAACAUUCUCCACGGAAGCCUUCACAUUGUUGGUGGCGGCAUUGAAGCUGGUCUGAAGAGAUAACAACCCAAAUGUGAAGAGCAUGAGACCAAGGGAAGAGGAAGAAAUAGCAAAGAGCAUACAUACAUCGGGGAAGCUGAAGAGAGGGGAGCUGGCAGUGUCAUCCAAGAGAGAGGCAGACUCCCUCUGUUGUUUACUCUCCACUCUCCUCCUCUUGUCACCAUUCCCGGCCAAUGCAGCAGCCGAGGCAGUUGGAAGGGUGGAGGCAUAGAACAGGCAACCAUUGCCAUUGUAGCAAGUGUUGGAGUGAGAACAGUAGCAGUUGUAAUCUUCCUCACGGAAAUGGGGUGGCCCAGAAGAUGCAUCAGAGACCAUAGAUAAGUCCUCCUCCUCCUCCUCCUCUUCCAUUUCCUCCUCUUGCUCAAUACAGCCAGCUUUUUGGAAGGGAAGAGAGGUUGCGGGCUCAUAGGACUGGUCCAAGUACAUGGUCCACCCAGACUGGCAUCCACUGCUGCACUCCGAACUCUCCUCUUCCUCCACCCCCAGCAUCAUUUGAUCAAUGGGGAGUAACGGGACUUUGGAGACACUCUUCUCUCUCACUUUCUAUUUUUUCCCCCUCCUUUCCCUCUGCGCGCGCGCUUGUAAUGCUCUCCAACACACUACACUUGCAGCGGUACAAAAGAUGGGGGAGAGGAUGGUAGUAGAAGGAAGGGGGGGGGGGGGGGGUAAGAGAGUAGGUNNNNNNNNNNAAUGGAAUCCACCCAAAUCCCAGACCCGUUUUGUCCUAUGCUCAUGCCAUCCUCCCCACCUCCUGGCUUUCCUCGGCGCAGAUGAAAUUAAAACUGCCAGUUGGGCAUUGGUCUCUUUGUUGGUGAUAAUGAGAGAAACAGAGAGAGGAGGGGAAAAAAAGCCUUGUCUCACACUCCCUCUACUCUCUCUCUACACCUCCUCUCUGUGUGUGUGUGUGUGUGUGUGUGUGUGUGUGUGUGUGUAGAAAGAGAGAGACAGGGAGGGGGGUUGGAAGGGAUGGAGCCACAACGGCCUCACAUGCAAUACAGCGUGGCAUUGUGUACCCUCUCUACCCGUUCCAUUAUUUUUCUUUCAAAUCCCGUGAACAAGGGAAAUGAGAGGGGUAUCACACUGUGUGUGUUGGAGGCUGCCAAUUGGACCCAUUGUCUUGGGCCAUGGACCAGGCCCCCACUCUGGCUUUUGGAUUCAUUUGCCACCUCCGCCGCACCGUUUCACUGUUAUCUUAGUUUUAGAGGUGGGGGUUAUGGUGAUGAGUUUUAGGUCACCAUUGUGUUCUUAAUGGUUUCCACAACUAAAGUUAAUGAACAGCGCUGCAAGGCUUUUCUGAUGGUUUUAGGUCAUCACAUGAAUAAUGUUAAGUUUUGAUUUAACUUCUACCAUGCAUUGGAAGAGAUAUGCCACAAUUCUCCAUCCAAAAGAUUUUUCUCCUCCUAUUUUUUUUAGAAAACCAUGGCAAAAUAAGUUAUCUUUAUGGCUUCCUUAGUGGAUGAAGUAGUUUGAUGAUAGAGUUUUGACAAAUUGGGUGACAUCAUAGCUCAUUCUAUUUAUCAUAUAAAUAGGAAUAAUAUUAUAUGAUUACAGAUCACAUUUAUAUGAUACCAAUUUUUUUUUUUUUUUAUUGGUGAUUAAUAAUCAGCUGUUGUCUUUUUUGGCAGAACAACAGUCAGUUCGGAUGUUACAUCACACAGAACAAAUUUAGACCACGGCCAUCAUACUAAAACUACCGUUAUGUGCAGGCAAAUGGAUUGGCGAGUCAUUGUAUGUGAUUUAUCGUUAGGAAGGGACAAAAUAAAGGCAGGGAAAAAACCAUUGAUGUGAAGUGACGCGAGGCGGAGAAGGAGGAGAGGUGGAAGAUCGCAGUUAAACGUCUGAGUCUUUUACUAGAUAGUGUAUUUAAUGCCGAGUCCUAUAUAUGUGUGCAUUGGUUUGGCUCACCACAAACCGUACUGAGAUGCCACCUUCACCUAUGAAUCUCCAGGCAUGCGAGGUGCAGCUCAGAUAAAACACCUGAAAAGUGAAAAGGUAAGAUAUACAUAUCAAAGUGACAGCAAUAAGCUAGCAUUGGAGAAUAUAGAGUAGCUUGUAGCACUGGAGCUAUAACAAAAGCAAUUCAAUUUGUACACUUGAGCUGCACUACCUACUCGUAAAAGAGUCAAAAUGACAGCAGUCUAACAUAGGAUACAGACUAUUUGAUAAGACUAAACCAAGCAACUAUCAUCAUAGUACUUAAAAACUGCUAUGCAUGUCAACUAUUGGGGAUCCUAAGACAUUAUUAUGCCAUCAACACUACCCUUAACUAUUGGGGAUAUCUAGGGUUUUAGUUUUCUAUGUGUAGGGUCAAUAAAUGGUGACUUGUAGGCUUGUAUUUGUGUCAAAUUGUAUGUGUGUGUGUGAGAGAGAGAGAGAGAGAUGCAAUGGUAGACUAGAAUUAAUGUCUCCACAUGCUACCACCUCCAGUGUAACUGUUCCUUUUCCUAAGGGGAAGACUCUUCCUUUCCCUCCCUCUCUCCUCCCUUCAAAGGUUUUGGUUGACACCGAGAUGGACAAAGGCAGAAAUAUCGAUGGCGCACACACAGAGACAUUUGAUCAAACAUGUGCCGAGGCACAUGCUCCCAACUAUCCAUUGGCCAUCAUGGUAUGUUAGUCUCGUAAAUCUCAUCCUAUGGGCUAUGGAUCAGCAAUAGAUCCACCAUCAUAACCAGUGGCUGCUGUGUCGCCACCUGAUCAAGAUAUUUGAUCCGAAUCGAGUCUUCUUGGGACCACUUGAUCCUCCUUUUUUCCUUCCUUCUCUGAUGGGAAGUUUGUACCAUGUGCAUGCGAGCAUGGCGUGCAUGCCUAUUCUCGUGCAUUCAUAUCUGCACCAGAUUUUGGGGACCAUGGUUUUCUCUUCAGUCCUUGAGAUUGUGAUCUUGCACAUAUUGGGCUUGUGAAAGCUAUGAUAUCAUGAUAUAUAUAUAUGUGCCUUCUGUAUCACUUACCAAUGUGAAGAUUGUCUAGACGCAAUGUGGGUCCAUAUAUAUAUUAAGGAAGCAAUGAAGUCCAUUUAUCCAAUUACAAUUAAUACCACCUUAUUGCCUCCCAAGGAGUUACAAGGGGGUGAUAUUCUAGUGAAGAAGGGAUUAAGCCAAGAGUUCGACAAUGAUAAGAGCCCAAAUUUUUUGGAAUAAACAUGACUUUCUGAAGAGAGGGUUCCUUAAAAGUGUAGUUGAGCAUCUUUUGCCAAUUAUAUCUUGGGGGUAGCUCAAGCCAAGUGGCACUAUGAUCAGAAGGAUUUCCCUGAGCAUAUCAUGAGGCCAAGAGAAAAGCUAGGGCAGGCCCAGUGCUUGGUGCUCUUUCCUCUCUUUGAAUGCACUGGCCACAUGAUUGAGGACUUGGUGUCCCAUCUUGGCCUAAAGAAGGAGAGCUAUUACACACCACAUACAUAUAAGAAUAUCCUCUAACAAGCUAUGGUACUCUUUUGAGUGUCCUAUUAUUGAUUCUGUUAUUAAAUUCCUUUCGGUGGCACUAAGUGAAUAUAUAUUCACUUUGAACUGUAGAUUGGAUCUCAUGAAGCCAAUGGAAAUUAUCAAUGACCAAAUGGGUGGGUAAGACUGAAACUGAAACUUCGAUAUUUACUAUUCAUGUGUUUGCGUGCUACGAAUACAAUCAUAUGAGAACUAGCAUUGCUACGAGCAACUAAGCAUGGCCCCUUGACAUGAUUAGGGAAGAAAAUUAAUCUAUAUAUAAGUUUUGAGAAUAUAUCUGUCCAUACUAUCAGAUUAAGAUUAAUUAGUGAUUUUGUUGGAUAAGUUUAUUACUUUGUAAUUUCUCGAUUUUUCGAAGCCAUAUAUUUGAAAAUUAGAAAUGUGAGACACAACUUUUGCAUUGUUUACCAAUUGAGACAUGGUCCUGUCCAAUAAUACAACAGCCUGCUUGUAUUAAUGCAGGAUGGGUCCCCAUAUAUUUUGAGCAUGCGCAAUGUCGAGUAACAUGAAAACAGUAAAAGCCAUCAGCGUCCAAAAGUUUUGCUUAUAUGGGUUCCUUAGCUUUCUUAAUUCAUCCAGGAUUAUUUGUCAGCUUAAUUUCUUGUUAGUUUUAACAAUUUUCAGGUAAGGUUGUAAAUUAAAUGAGCUAAGUUUUGGGUUGCUCAAUCUUGGCUUGUUAAAAUCAAAAUGACCAUUUGACUACAGUGCGUCUUAACUGUACUAAUAUUCUAGCUUGGUUCAUUUUAUGAUAAGACAGCUUGAAUAAGCUUGUUAUCGAGAGCUAAGUUAAGCUUCUACUUGUAUCUUGCAAGCUUAGGGUGCCUGAGCUUGGCUUGUUUAUGAGUCGACCUUAAAUGGGACUUCGAGUUGGCUUCUUUUCUAAUCGAACAAGCUCAAAAAAACCUAUAGUCAAUGGAGUUGUACUCAAACAGCUUAGUUCCUCUGUGGCCCUACCCUAAACUUGAACCAGAUUCAGACGAACAGAUACGUGCGCCAAGACACACACAUGCGGAUGCUACAUAUUUUCUUAGCGUUCCUCUAAAUUGUUACAAACAUGAUCUUAACGUUUCUUCUUGAAUAUAAAAAUUUAAGAGCUUACUUUCUCCUCGAUCUCUCAGUCAUAUAAUAUCUAUAUAAAUCCAGUCCUUUUUAAAUCAUAAAUACCAGAAACUCAUGAUUACCUUAGUUUUUUUUUUUGUGACAUUACACAGUUGCAUGAUUGAAUGAGUCUGAUCUUUCCACUUCGUUUGAAUCCUCUAACAAUUUCAUGAUCUUUAGCAUCUCUUAGUAAAUCCUUCCAACAGGUUUUCAUUGUCUACAGAAGACUCAUUGGAGCCUUCUUCAACAGCCAUCAUCAUGCAAGUUCUGAAAAGGUGGCACACUAAUAAUCCACUCCACAUGCAAAAAGGUUUGAAUGGUUAUUUCCCAAUAUGAGGGCUAUGACAAGAGGGCCCUUUCCCAAAGGAAAAGGUCUGCAGCUGUUCUGAGGCUCAACUUACAGCCAUUUUGUUUUGGCAGUAUAAGACUCCAUUAAUUUCUAUGCAGAAAAGUAAAUUAAUGUAGUAUAAAUUGAUUUGCUCGAGUCCUAGAUGAGAUAAAAGAAACUGAAAACAUCAAACACAAAGU
RNAcentral lists this long non-coding RNA (22325 nucleotides) under Phoenix dactylifera (date palm). RNAcentral describes it as "long non-coding RNA (PDAC_LNC002702)". Lineage: Eukaryota; Viridiplantae; Streptophyta; Magnoliopsida; Arecales; Arecaceae. The record is from RNAcentral.